Molecule: ribosomal RNA, 466 nt
Filed under: uncultured bacterium
Lineage: Bacteria
Description: partial 16S ribosomal RNA
Rfam family: Bacterial small subunit ribosomal RNA
Source: RNAcentral
ACGAACGCUGGCGGCGUGCUUAACACAUGCAAGUCGAACGGAAAGGCCCUGCUUUUGUGGGGUGCUCGAGUGGCGAACGGGUGAGUAACACGUGAGUAACCUGCCCUUGACUUUGGGAUAACUUCAGGAAACUGGGGCUAAUACCGGAUAGGAGCUCCUGCUGCAUGGUGGGGGUUGGAAAGUUUCGGCGGUUGGGGAUGGACUCGCGGCUUAUCAGCUUGUUGGUGGGGUAGUGGCUUACCAAGGCUUUGACGGGUAGCCGGCCUGGGAGGGUGACCGGCCACAUUGGGACUGGGAUACGGCCCAGACUCCUACGGGGGGCAGCAGUGGGGAAUUUUGCACAAUGGGGGGAAGCCUGAUGCAGCAACGCCGGGGGCGGGAUGACGGCCUUCGGGUUGUAAACCGCUUUCGCCUGUGACGAAGCGUGAGUGACGGUAAUGGGUAAAGAAGCACCGGCUAACUACGU